UACGUAGGGGGCAAGCGUUGUCCGGAAUUAUUGGGCGUAAAGAGCUCGUAGGCGGUCUGUUACGUCUGCUGUGAAAACCCGGGGCUUAACCCUGGGCUUGCAGUGGAUACGGGCAGACUAGAGGCAGGUAGGGGAGAAUGGAAUUCCCGGUGUAGCGGUGAAAUGCGCAGAUAUCGGGAGGAACACCGGUGGCGAAGGCGGUUCUCUGGGCCUGACCUGACGCUGAGGAGCGAAAGCGUGGGGAGCGAACAGG
RNAcentral lists this ribosomal RNA (253 nucleotides) under uncultured bacterium. RNAcentral describes it as "partial 16S ribosomal RNA". It matches the Rfam family "Bacterial small subunit ribosomal RNA", at positions 524 to 776 of the family's 1533-position model. The record is from RNAcentral.